GGAAAUGUCACUUUUAAAAAUACAUAUCGUGGAAGAGUAUACAUGUUUGCCCAGAGUGAAUCAAUCCCUUCACAGUGAGCCAUUCAAAAGAUUUGAAUCGUUUGGAAGACCACGUGACUGGAAUUUUCCAGAGGCUAAAGACCGUUGCUCCGCCAGCUUCGUUUUCAAACAAGUGACGACGACAGACGGUUCAACUUCGAGGAAGAGCUAACGUUUGCGCUUUCGCUAAUAUUUGGCUACAAACUCACACAUUUGAGUUUUAUUCGUAAAUUAUCGUUUUGAUAUAUGUUUUGAAGGCAAUUAUCUUGCCAUAUAUUCUUUACAUCGGCGUUAUCACCAGAACAAAGGUUUCAAGCUUCAGUCGACUCGCUUGUGUCCGAAAACAAAACAAUGGCUAAGGGAGAAGAAUCGCACUCUGAAAUGGCCCACGAUCGUCAGAGUGAUGGCAUCAAUGUGAUCUUUGACCAAAACAGCCCUGCCUCAUCUCGGUCCCGCUCACGAUCUAGAAGCAGUAGUGGCAGCAAACUCUCACCUGGCUCUGGCCGCUUUAGGGGACGUGGUAGCCACAGGAGACGCCACAAGUCCUCAUCCAGCAGCAGGUCCCCCACUCAUACGCGGUCACGCUCUCACACUCGUUGCCGUAGGCCUUCGUCCCACUGCCGCUGUGACAACCAUCGCAAAAAUGGCCGUGGCCGCCAAUCCCCACCACGGCGCUCCAGGGCCCACUCCAGGUCUUCCAGCCGUCGGAGCAGGAGGGCUGCGAGCCCGUCUUCCCAAUCCAUAACCCACAGAGGCGAUUCAAGAUCCGGAUCUUCAGAGAACUCUGUCAAUUUGAGUUUGGAUGACAAAGGAGAACUCCUCACAGCUGCAAAGGUCAUUGCUACUACAAUCCUAGAAGUGGAAAAGCUGGAGCUUCCUGAGAGUGUGAAACCAAUCCUAUUGGAGCAGUCGGAGUUCAAACGGGUGUCGCUAGAUACAUGGGUGAGACAAGACCCUGAAAAGACUCUGUCACAGAUAACAUGACAGUGGUCUCCUUCACUCAUCGGCACCUGGGAUUAAAGGGCUGUCAUGUGACUUGGGUGACAACAAUGUAUUUGCGUGAAAGUUUAUCUGAUACCUCUUUAAAUGUUCACAAUGUGUAAGUUUAUCAACUGGAGGCUUGCAAUUGAACAAACACAUA
Molecule: long non-coding RNA, 1180 nt
Organism: Cottoperca gobio
Lineage: Eukaryota; Metazoa; Chordata; Actinopteri; Perciformes; Bovichtidae
Product: arginine and serine rich protein 1
Source: Ensembl